AGGGAAUAUUGGGCAAUGGAUGCAAGUCUGACCCAGCCACGCCGCGUGCCGGAUGAAGGCCCCCAGGGUUGUAAACGGCUUUUAUUCGGGAAGAAGAGCAGGGAUGCGUCCUUGUGUGACGGUACCGAAUGAAUAAGCACCGGCUAACUCCGUGCCAGCAGCCGCGGUAAUACGGAGGGUGCGAGCGUUGUCCGGAUUUAUUGGGUUUAAAGGGUGCGUAGGUGGCUAAUUAAGUCAGUGGUGAAAUACAGCCGCUCAACGGUUGAGGUGCCAUUGAUACUGAUUAGCUUGAAAUAAUUGGAGGCUGCCGGAAUGGAUGGUGUAGCGGUGAAAUGCAUAGAUAUCAUCCAGAACACCGAUUGCGAAGGCAGGUGGCUACGAUUUAUUUGACACUGAGGCACGAAAGCAUGGGGAGCAAAC
This 420-nucleotide ribosomal RNA is filed under the name uncultured bacterium. RNAcentral's name for it is "bacterial SSU rRNA". It matches the Rfam family "Bacterial small subunit ribosomal RNA", at positions 356 to 773 of the family's 1533-position model. The record is from RNAcentral.